This 21-nucleotide small nuclear RNA is filed under the name Arabidopsis thaliana (thale cress). RNAcentral describes it as "snRNA_16395". The record is from RNAcentral. Lineage: Eukaryota; Viridiplantae; Streptophyta; Magnoliopsida; Brassicales; Brassicaceae.
UGGGCUUAGGUUUCUGGAGAU